AGAGGGGCCAGUUAUACUGUUAGACGGGCCAGUUAUACUGUUAGAGGGGCCAGUUAUACUGUUAGAGGGGCCAGUUAAACACACACAGGGCCAGUUAUACUGUUAGAGGGGCCAGUUGUACUGUUAGAGGGGGCCAGUUGUACUGUUAGAGGGGGCCAGUUGUACUGUUAGAGGGGGCCAGUUGUACUGUUAGAGGGGCCAGUUGUACUGUUAGAGGGGCCAGUUGUUCUGUUAGAGGGGGCCAGUUGUUCUGUUAGAGGGGGCCAGUUGUACUGUUAGAGGGGGCCAGUUAUACUGUUAGAGGGGCCAGUUGUACUGUUAGAGGGGGCCAGUUGUACUGUUAGAGGGGCCAGUUGUACUGUUAGAGGGGCCAGUUGUUCUGUUAGAGGGGCCAGUUGUUCUGUUAGAGGGGCCAGUUGUUCUGUUAGAGGGGGCCAGUUGUACUGUUAGAGGGGCCAGUUGUACUGUUAGAGGGGCCAGUUGUUCUGUUAGAGGGGGCCAGUUGUACUGUUAGAGGGGCCAGUUGUACUGUUAGUGGGGCCAGUUGUACUGUUAGAGGGGCCAGUUGUACUGUUAGAGGGGCCAGUUGUACUGUUAGAGGGGCCAGUUGUACUGUUAGAGGGGCCAGUUGUGCUGUUAGAGGGGCCAGUUGUACUGUUAGAGGGGCCA
RNAcentral lists this long non-coding RNA (669 nucleotides) under Salmo salar (Atlantic salmon). RNAcentral describes it as "lncRNA (ENSSSAG00000103572.1)". Lineage: Eukaryota; Metazoa; Chordata; Actinopteri; Salmoniformes; Salmonidae. The record is from RNAcentral.